UACGUAGGUGGCAAGCGUUGUCCGGAAUUAUUGGGCGUAAAGCGCGCGCAGGCGGUUCCUUAAGUCUGAUGUGAAAGCCCACGGCUCAACCGUGGAGGGUCAUUGGAAACUGGGGGACUUGAGUGCAGAAGAGGAGAGCGGAAUUCCACGUGUAGCGGUGAAAUGCGUAGAGAUGUGGAGGAACACCAGUGGCGAAGGCGGCUCUCUGGUCUGUAACUGACGCUGAGGCGCGAAAAGUGCGGGUGGGACAAACGGAUU
RNAcentral lists this ribosomal RNA (258 nucleotides) under uncultured bacterium. RNAcentral describes it as "partial 16S ribosomal RNA". It matches the Rfam family "Bacterial small subunit ribosomal RNA", at positions 524 to 779 of the family's 1533-position model. The record is from RNAcentral.